UCGAGAAUAUUCGACAAUGGGCGAAAGCCUGAUCGAGCGACGCCGCGUGCAGGAUGAAGGUCUUAGGAUUGUAAACUGCUUUUCUACGGGAAGAAGGUACGAUAAGUACUGUGACGGUACUGUAGGAAUAAGUGGCUGCAAACUUCGUGCCAGCAGCCGCGGUAAUACGAAGGCCACAAGCGUUAUCCGGAUUUAUUGGGUGUAAAGGGCGCGUAGGUGGUUCGAUGCGUCUUCUGUUAAAUUUCACAGCUCAACUGUGAAGCCGCAGAGGAUACGGUCGGACUUGAGAGCGUUAGAGGCAAAUGGAACUCAUGGUGUAGGGGUGAAAUCCGUUGAUAUCAUGGGGAACACCGAAGGCGAAGGCAAUUUGCUGGGACGUUUCUGACACUGAGGCGCGAAAGCGUGGGGAGCAAAAAGG
This 418-nucleotide ribosomal RNA is filed under the name uncultured bacterium. Its description in RNAcentral is "bacterial SSU rRNA". It matches the Rfam family "Bacterial small subunit ribosomal RNA", at positions 355 to 776 of the family's 1533-position model. The record is from RNAcentral.